Molecule: ribosomal RNA, 301 nt
Filed under: uncultured bacterium
Lineage: Bacteria
Description: partial 16S ribosomal RNA
Rfam family: Bacterial small subunit ribosomal RNA
Source: RNAcentral
CAGUAGCCGCGGUAAGACGAACUGUGCAAACGUUACUCGGAAUCACUGGGCUUAAAGCGCACGUAGGCGGCGACAUAAGUUAGAGGUGAAAUCCCAUCGGCUCAACCGUGGAACUGCCUCUAAUACUGUGUUGCUUGAGGGAGAACGGGGCAUUCGGAACUUCCGGUGGAGCGGUGAAAUGUGUUGAUAUCGGAAGGAACGCCGGUGGCGAAAGCGGAAUGCUGGGUAUCUUCUGACGCUGAGGUGCGAAAGCUAGGGUAGCGAACGGGAUUAGAGACCCGCGUAGUCCCUGUCUCUUAUA